CGCAGGCGACACCACUUCGACACUUGCUAGGCUGAUCAAAUUUUUUGUGUAAACAAUGGCAGCAGUUCAUCCAAAUUCUGUAAUUUAUUUACAAAAAAACCCUUUCACAAGGCUUUCGCUGGAAGAAAUAAAAAAGAUAAAGGAUCUCGGACCGGACCAACCCGAUUUACAAAUCCAGCAGCAGGCCAGUGACAGAGGACGAAGCUACACACGAAGCUUCACCCGCGCUUGUUAUGAGAAACGGAGGUGGCUGGCUGGAUGUGAUGUUAGCAAUUCUCUUUUUUGUUUUCCCUGUCUUUUAUUUCAAAGUGUCGGCACUGAAGUUUUGUGGACAACGACGGGGAAACUCUCUCCACUCCAUUGGUGAGCAAAGCAGUGGUUCUCGUCCAACAAAGAGGCGCCGGGCGCUCAGUUCGGAAGACCGUGAAAGGAUUGCAGCAGAGGGGGACAGGUUUGAUGAGUACAAGGAUACCUUUCCUGAAGAUGCAUUGAGCAGCACCAUGAAAGCGUACCCGAUGCUCAGUGGAAGCAAGCUGAAGACGGAGCUCAGUCUCAUCUACAGCAAGGAAGAGUUCAGAGCCUGCCGUGGUGCUGUGGACCUAUUCCAG
Long non-coding RNA from Lethenteron reissneri (Far Eastern brook lamprey), 608 nucleotides. RefSeq lists it as uncharacterized. NCBI's taxonomy places the organism in Eukaryota, Metazoa, Chordata, Hyperoartia, Petromyzontiformes, Petromyzontidae. The record is from RefSeq and is a predicted model, not a curated record.